UCCCCUCUGGCUCAGAUGGUAAAGCGUCUGUCUAUGAUGUGGGAGACCCAGGUUCGAUCCCUGGGUUGGGAA
This is a non-coding RNA of Bos taurus (domestic cattle), 72 nucleotides long. The record is from Rfam. Lineage: Eukaryota; Metazoa; Chordata; Mammalia; Artiodactyla; Bovidae.